This 377-nucleotide unclassified non-coding RNA is filed under the name plant metagenome. RNAcentral describes it as "partial contains 5.8S ribosomal RNA, internal transcribed spacer 2, and large subunit ribosomal RNA". The stretch from base 1 to 105 matches the Rfam family "5.8S ribosomal RNA", at positions 50 to 154 of the family's 154-position model. The record is from RNAcentral.
GAAAUGCGAUAAGUAAUGUGAAUUGCAGAAUUCAGUGAAUCAUCGAAUCUUUGAACGCACCUUGCGCUCCUUGGUAUUCCUUGGAGCAUGCCUGUUUGAGUAUCAUGAAAUCUUCAAAGUAAAUCUUUUGUUAACUCAAUUGGUUUCUACUUUGGUAUUGGAGGUCUUUGCAGCUUCACACCUGCUCCUCUUUGUUCAUUAGCUGGAUCUCAGUGUUAUGCUUGGUUCCACUCGGCGUGAUAAGUUAUCUAUCGCUGAGGAUACUGUAAAAGGUGGCCAAGGUAAAUGCAGAUGAACCGCUUCUAAUAGUCCAUUGACUUGGACAAUACUUUUAUGAUCUGAUCAAAAUCAGGUAGGACUACCCGCUGAACUUAAGC